RNAcentral lists this long non-coding RNA (7435 nucleotides) under Populus tremula. Its description in RNAcentral is "long non-coding RNA (PTRE_LNC001051)". The record is from RNAcentral. Lineage: Eukaryota; Viridiplantae; Streptophyta; Magnoliopsida; Malpighiales; Salicaceae.
AAUAAAUAUGUAUGUUGAUUAUACAAUGAGUACGACUAGUAAGUUUCUUGAAUAUUUAUAUAUGUUGCUUUAUUUUCCGAGUACUCAUUUAUUCUUGAAUUUGCAUUCGCAAUCUGUCAAAGUAAAUUCUAUUUGAUAUGAUAUACGCUUCUUUGAUGAUUAUGUGAAUAUCUAUUAUGCCUUGAUAUGGGACUUGUCAGUAACUCCAUGCUAACGGAGAAUAGUUAGCCUGUGUGCACAUAGUAUUCUGUUACCUAGCUGGUGAGAGAGGCAUCAGCCUGUGGUGAUUGAUCAUCCCACAGUGGUCACCGACGGGUGUCAUCUGGUCACCUUCGGGUGUCAUCUGUUCUCUGACAUGUAAUCCACUACGUUAUGAUAAUAUGUUUAGUAAGUAUAUGUAUAUGUAUAUGUAUAUGCAUAUCAAGAUAAAUCAUCUUGCAAAUAAUAUCUGAAAUAUAUGAAAUGUGUAUUAAAUGUUAUUCCCCUCACUGAGUUGGUUGAACUCACCCUCAUUUUUAAUAUUAUUUCAGGUUUUUAGUUUCUGGAACUUUGUUGAGUGUUUCCGCUUCUUCAGUUCUUGUCGGUAUGCCUUGCUUGUUCGCAAGGCUUUCCUUUCAGUUUUGAUUUGAUGUCUUAGACGCUCCACUGUUACCUUGUUUUAAUUACAUUUGGAUUUUGACAAUGUAAUAAGUAUUAUGAAUUAUUAUUUUUGUUUUAAUAAUUAUCUUUCGGUUUCAUCAGUAUUUGAAUAAUAUAAUAUUUCUGAAUAUUAUGAGCCGCUGCGUAUUUUUGAACAAAUUGUUCUUUGAUAUGUCUGUUCUGAGGCUUAGCGUAGGUGAGGUGUCCUUUCGACACCGCUCCUACGUUGCCGGUCACGGAUCCGGGAUUCGGGUCGUGACAAAGGUGGUAUCAGAGCAUGGUUUUAUUAAAACCUCGUAAUCUAUUUUAUUUAUUUAUUAUUCAAAAUUUCGUAAUAAGUGGAGCAUUAGGAUCCGUAUCGUUUUGUUUGUUGUUUUUUUGAAAUUUUGAAUUCUCAUCAAGCAUGUCUUCUUUCUUGUGAUAAAUAUGCAUUUUGUUUUUAGAAAUAUGCCGAGGGCUAAACAUGUAAUUAAUACCGAUGAUCAAGAGGACAUUCCUAUCGCUCAGCUUAGGAAGGAGAGGCGCAAAAAGAGAGUUAGAAACCCUUCGCCUCAACCAAUUGAAGCAGAAGUUCAGGAUGAGGUUGAAUUUGAGGGGGACUAUGGUCUGGAUGUUGGUAAGAACCAGGAGCAGGAAUCCCAUGAUAGGGUGUCUUAUACGAUAGUGCUUUGGAUAAAAUUGGGCAGGCCAUGCAGACCCUGGCUGACCUUUUAACUGAGAAAGAAAAGGAGAAGGAUAAGAAUGCAUCUUCGACUUCCCAUACAGUGCAUGGGGUGAAAGUGCCAUUGGCAGAGUUCCUUAAGUUGGCACCUCCUACCUUUAAGGGUGUCGAUAACUCUGAGGAUCCACAACAGUUUUUAGAUGCAGUGUGGCGCAGGUGUGAGGCCAUGGGGUGCACAGAUCAUCGUGCAGUGACUUUAGCAUCUUUUAGGUUAGAAGGCGAGGUGGCUGUGAACUGGUAUGAGUCUAAAAGAGGUGAAAGGGCAGAUAGUUCUCCACCGAUGGAGUGGAAGGAAUUUUCUGAGAUAUUUUUGGAGCGUUUUCUACCUGAAAGUGUGAGGGAAGCUAAAUCAUACGAGUUUGAGAAGUUGGUUCAGGGUGACUUGACUGUGACAGAGUAUGAAGUGGAAUUCACACGGUUGUCUAGAUUUGCUGGGUAUUUGGUACCGACUGAGGAGAGGAAGAUCAAGAGGUUUAUUCGGGGUCUUAAUAACUACCUAUUCAAAGCUAUUGGGGCUCAUGAGUUUAAGACGUACUCAGCCGUAGUGGAUCGUGCCCGAGCUAUUGAGGCACGAGAGUUAGAGGAUGAUUUAUCAGUGGGUUCAGUCAAGAGGCCCAAGGUGGCAAAUCAGUUCUCUUUUCAUCAGCGGUCUGAUACAGGUCCUAACAGACAGGGAGGCCGGCAGGGCCAAUUAAGUCAAUCAAGGAAUUCAUUGUCGAGGUCUACUGUUGGGGGAACAAUAGACAUAACAUGAGUGGAGCUGGUCCGACUCAGAGUCGAAGUAUGGUUCAGUUAACACCACAAGGUUCAUAUGGGAGGCCUCAAUGUCAGUCUUGUGGGUCUAGGCAUUAUGGCACAGUCUGUUAUAGGCAGACAGGAGCUUGUUUUGGUUGCGGGCAGACUGAUCACUUAUUGAGGGAUUGUACUUAUUGAGGGAUUGUCCGAACAAGAGGUGGUCCAAGCCUAAUGCUUCUGUACCGAUUACAUCUCCUACUCAGACUCAGUCAGCUAGUCAUUCUGUAUUUCAGGGUGGUCGUGGAGCUGGUGAGCGUGGCCAGCGGGGCCGUGGAGUAGGCGGUAGAGGUUUUGCGCCAACAAGUCAGAGACAGGCACGAGUUUUUGCCAUUACUCAGCAGGAUGCCCAGGCAUCCAAUACUGUUGUCUCAGGUACACUUUUGAUAUGUUCCUUCGAGGCUAGAGUUUUAUUUGACACCGGGGCUACUCAUUCUUUUGUGUCAUCAUAUUUUGCUUUAAAGUUUACUAAACAACCCAUUUUGUUAGAGAGUCCUUUAUGUGUGGCUACCCCUUCAGAUGAGGUUAUGUUUGGGGAAUAUGUUUAUGUUGAUUGUGAAGUUGAAGUGCAAGGUAGAAACCUAUUAGGUGAUUUGGUAAUUUUAGAAAUUGUAGGUUUUGAUGUGAUACUAGGUAUGGACUGGUUGUCAAGGCAUCAUGCCUCAGUUGACUGUUGGAAUAAGACAGUGGUUUUCAAGCCUGAUGAGGAGACAGAGUUUGCUUUUCAUGGAGAUGGGUUAUCAUCUCCAUCUAGUAUUCUCUCGGCCAUCACGAGAAGGAUGGUACGAAAGGGUAUGCAAGGGUUUUUGGCUUAUGUGCAUGAUGUGAAUAUGGAGGUCUCGGGGAUAGAACAAGUUUCGAUAGUUAAGGAAUUCAUCGAUGUUUUUCCCGAUGACUUACCUGGACUACCUCCCAAUAGGGAAAUCGAAUUCUGUAUUGAUCUAGAUUCAGGAACAAAACCAAUCUCUAUGGCACCGUACAGGAUGGCGCCAGCAGAAUUAAAAGAGUUGAAGGAGCAGAUUCAAGAUUUGUUAGAUAAGGGAUUUAUUCGUCCGAGUGUGUCUCCAUGGGGGGCACCUGUUUUAUUUGUAAAGAAGAAGGAUGGAUCGAUGAGGAUGUGUAUAGACUACAGGCAGUUGAACAGGGUCACUAUUAAGAAUAGAUACCCACUCCCUCGCAUUGAUGACCUUUUUGAUCAAUUACAAGGAGCUCAAUGUUUCUCAAAGAUUGAUUUACGAUCGGGGUAUCACCAGUUGAGGAUUAGAAAUGAGGAUAUUUCUAAAACUGCCUUUAGGACUCGUUAUGGGCAUUACGAGUUCUUGGUGUUGUCUUUUGGGUUAACAAAUGCACCUGCGGCUUUUAUGGACAUGAUGAACAGGGUUUUUAGACCAUUUAUUGAUAAGUUUGUUAUUGUGUUCAUUGAUGACAUCUUGGUGUAUUCAAAAAGUGAAGAGGAACACGAAGAGCAUUUGAGAUUGGUGCUUCAAACUCUAAGAGAUCAUCAGUUGUAUGGAAAGUUCUCGAAGAGCGAGUUUUGGCUAGAGAGUGUUGGGUUUUUGGGACAUGUGGUGUCCAAGAAUGGAAUAGAGGUUGAUCCACAGAAAGUGGAGGCAGUUAAGCAGUGGCCUAGACCAGUUACGGUAUCUGAGAUUAGAAGUUCCUGGGUUUAGCAGGAUACUACAGGAGAUUCGUGGAGAAUUUUUCCCGAAUUGCUGCUCCGUUGACUAAGUUGACACAGAAAAGUGUCAAGUUUCAAUGGUCAGAAGAAUGUGAGAAGAGCUUCCUAGAGUUGAAGGAAAGGUUAAUUACGGCUCCAAUUUUGACAGUACCUUCAGGGUCUGGUGGUUUUACCGUGUACUGUGAUGCAUCCAGGAUUGGUUUGGGUUGUGUUUUGAUGCAGAAUGGUAAUGUGAUUGCUUAUGCCUCGAGAAAGUUGAAGAAGCAUGAGCAAAAUUACCCCACACAUGAUUUGGAGAUGGCUGCGGUAGUGUUUGCCCUUAAAAUUUGGAGACACUACUUGUAUGGGGAGACAUGUGAGAUAUUUUCAGAUCAUAAGAGUCUUCAAUAUAUUUUUCAGCAGAAGGAUCUGAAUUUGAGACAAAGAAGAUGGAUAGAAUUGUUAAGUGAUUAUGAUUGCACGAUUCAAUAUCACCCGGGCAAGGCAAAUGUUGUUGCUGAUGCUUUAAGUCGAAAAUCUAUGGGUAGUUUGGCUCAUAUUCAGGAGGUGAGGAGACCCUUGAUUAAAGAGUUACACGGAUUGUUAGAUGAGAGAGUCAGUUUUGAGAUUUGUGAAUCGGGAGCAUUGUUGGCUCACUUUCAGGCUAAGUCAGACUUGGUAGACCGGAUUAAAGUAGCUCAGAUGAAGGAUGAACAACUUUGCAAAAUUCGAGAUGACUUGGAGUUAGAGAGAGCUCCGGGUUUUGUUAUCCACGAAGAUGGUGUGUUGAGAUUUGGUUCAAGAUUGUGUGUGCCUGAGGUGGAUGAUUUGAAAAGAGAUGUGAUGAUGGAAGCACACCAAACUGCCUAUACUAUACAUCCUGGUUCUAACAAGAUGUAUAGAGACUUGAAAGAGUGUUAUUGGUGGAAUGGUAUGAAGAGGGACAUUGCUGAGUUUGUAUCUCGAUGCUUGACCUGUCAGAGGGUUAAAGGUGAGCAUCAGAAACCACCAGGGCUUUUGCAGCCAUUGUUGAUUCCUGAAUGGAAAUGGGAGAGGAUCACUAUGGACUUUGUGUCAGGCUUGCCUCGGAGUCAGGAGGGUUAUGAUUCGGUUUGGGUGAUAGUUGAUCGUUUAACCAAGUCAGCUCAUUUCUUGCCAGUAAAGGUGACAUAUGGGUUUGCAAAACUCGCAGAAAUCUAUGUUAACGAGAUUGUAAGGUUGCAUGGUGUGCCCAUCUCAAUUGUGUCUGACAGAGGUCCACAGUUCACUUCUCGGUUUUGGGUGAAAUUUCAGGAAGCUUUGGGGACUAAUGUUCAGUUAAGUACUGCUUUUCAUCCUCAAACAGAUGGACAAUCUGAGAGGACUAUACAAAUUUUGGAGGAUAUGUUAAGAGCUUGUGUGAUUGACUUUGGUGUCGGAUGGAGCAAAUACUUGUCUUUGGUGGAGUUUGCAUAUAAUAAUAGUUAUCAAGCGAGCAUUGAUAUGGCUCCAUAUGAGGCUUUGUAUGGCCGGAAGUGUAGAUCACCUGUUUGUUGGUAUGAGGUUGGAGAGAGGAGAUUAAUGGGUCCUGAGUUAAUACAGAUUACUUCGGAUAAGAUUAAGGUGAUUCGAGAUAAGCUUCAAACAGCUCAGAGCAGACAAAAGAAUUAUGCGGAUAAGAGGAGGCGUAAUCUAGAAUUUUCAGUGGGUGACAACGUGUUCCUAAAAGUCUCCCCAACUAAAGGAAUAUUCAGAUUUGGGAAGAAAGGAAAGUUGAGCCCUAGGUUUAUAGGGCCCUUUGAGAUCUUGGAAAGAGUAGGGGUAGUGGCAUAUCGGCUUGCCUUGCCACCUAAUCUAUCCUCCAUCCAUCCGGUAUUUCAUGUUUCCAUGCUAAGGAAGUAUAUGCCAGAUCCAUCACAUGUGUUAGAGGUUCAUCCUAUUGAAUUGAGAGAUGAUAUGGUUUAUGAGGUGCAACCGGAAGCUAUAAUUGACCGACAAGUGAGGAAGCUUAGGUCGAAGGAUAUAGCUUCAGUGAAAGUGAAAUGGAAAGGUCAUUCACGUGAGGAAGCGACCUGGGAGCUCGAGGAUAAGAUGCGUGAGGAGUAUCCUCAUCUUUUCAAUAAUCUCGGUAAGUAUUCAAUCUUUUCUAUUAAGUUUCGAGGACGAAACUUUUAUAAGGUGGGGAGAUUGUAAUAUUUUGGUUGGAAAAUACAAUAAAGCCCUUGGAGGCUUAAAGAGUGAGUAAAUUUGAAUAAGGGGUAUUAUGGUAAUUGGAUAAAUAGUUGAUAAAUAUAAAUAGAAAAAGAAAGAGGGAUCUGAAAAUUUGAAGAACAAACGUAAGAGAGAAGGGAGGAAGAAGAAGAAGAAGAGAAAAAAGGGAAAAUAAGGGGAAAAGGAAGAGAAGUAGAGGAAAUAAGUUUAAAAGGUAAGAUUUAUGGUUUGAAGUGUAUUAAUAUGUUUAAUUUCGUUUUGAUUAAUUUUAGAGUUUUGAAGUUUGUAUUUUGAGUUAAUUGAUGAAUUAAUUUGAAGGUUAGGAGUUGAUUAUUAUGGGUAUUUGAUUAAUUAGUUGAUUUUGAGAGAUUGAAUUGAAGGAUAAUGAUUUUGAGUUAUGAUUUUGUUUAAAUGGUGAAAUUGUGUUAGAAAUCAGGGGAUAACAGUAGGUGAUCUGUUGAAAUUCUGGGUUUGAGGUUGAAGAUGACGAAAAUUCAGUUUGGUCCCUCAAUUUGUGGAAAUUGCAGUUUAGUCCCCGAACUUUGGAAAUUUUACAGAUUGGUCCCUGGGGCAUAAAUUGAGAUUCUGAACAGAACUGAGGAUGAUUUAAGGACAAAAUUCCAGUAUAAUUAAUAUUUUCAGUUUGGUCCUCCAAUUUGACAAAUUACGAUUUGACCCCUAAUAUUUUGAUAAAAUCACAUUUUGGACCUUGGGGCAUAAUUCAAGAUUCUGGACAAAGAUAAGGACGAAUUAUGGAUAAUUUCAGUAUGGAUAUAUAUAUUUACAAUUCGGUCCUCAAAUUUGGUAAAAUUACGUUUUGGUCCCUGUUUUGGAAAAUUGUCGUUUUAGUCCCUAAACUCGAGAGAUUAAGCCCAGUUUAUUUUAUGCAUUUGUAUCUUUUGUUUGAUUUGUUUUUGAGUAUAUUUCAUAUAUUUAUUGUAGGUUCUCCUAACGAUCCUUAAUCGGAUUUUCGGGUCUUUUGCCUGACAUUCCUUUAGUUCAGUAUUUUCCGGGUGAGUGGAAUAAUCUUUAAUAUGCAUAUAAUAUAAAUAAAUAUGUAUGUUGAUUAUACAAUGAGUACGACUAGUAAGUUUCUUGAAUAUUUAUAUAUGUUGCUUUAUUUUCCGAGUACUCAUUUAUUCUUGAAUUUGCAUUCGCAAUCUGUCAAAGUAAAUUCUAUUUGAUAUGAUAUACGUUCUUUGAUGAUUAUGUGAAUAUCUAUUAUGCCUUGAUAUGGGACUUGUCAGUAACUCCAUGCUAACGGAGAAUAGUUAGCCUGUGUGCACAUAGUAUUCUGUUACCUAGCUGGUGAGAGAGGCAUCAGCCUGUGGUGAUUGAUCAUCCCACAGUGGUCACCGACGGGUGUCAUCUGGUCACCGACGGGUGUCAUCUGGUCACCUUCGGGUGUCAUCUGUUCUCUGACAUGUAAUCCACUA